Molecule: ribosomal RNA, 496 nt
Filed under: Ctenopoma muriei (ocellated labyrinth fish)
Lineage: Eukaryota; Metazoa; Chordata; Actinopteri; Anabantiformes; Anabantidae
Description: partial 12S ribosomal RNA
Rfam family: Bacterial small subunit ribosomal RNA
Source: RNAcentral
UAAACAUUGAUAGUCCACUACCCCUACUAUCCGCCAGGGAACUACGAGCAUUAGCUUAAAACCCAAAGGACUUGGCGGUGCUUAAGAUCCACCUAGAGGAGCCUGUUCUAGAACCGAUAACCCCCGUUCAACCUCACCCUCUCUUGCUUUUCCCGCCUAUAUACCGCCGUCGUCAGCUUACCCUGUGAAGGACUAAAUAGUAAGCAGAACUGGCCUAGCCCAAAACGUCAGGUCGAGGUGUAGCGUAUGAGAGGGGAAGAAAUGGGCUACAUUUACUAAAUUAGUAAACACGGAUAACACACUGAAACGUAUGUUUGAAGGAGGAUUUAGCAGUAAGCAGAAAAUAGAGCGUUCUGCUGAAACUGGCCCUAAAGCGCGCACACACCGCCCGUCACUCUCCCCGAGCUAUUUAUUUUUAAUAACUAAUAAACUACAACUGCAAAGGGGAGGCAAGUCGUAACAUGGUAAGUGUACCGGAAGGUGCACUUGGAUAAAC